RNAcentral lists this long non-coding RNA (1077 nucleotides) under Helianthus annuus (common sunflower). RNAcentral's name for it is "hypothetical non coding rna". The record is from RNAcentral. Lineage: Eukaryota; Viridiplantae; Streptophyta; Magnoliopsida; Asterales; Asteraceae.
UUCCUAAGCUAAGAAACCAACACCCCUAAAUUCCCCCCACAACGAACUCGAAUGCAGAUCGAGAACCGCCAGCUGCUGUAACUUCCCAAUCCCAUUCGGAAACCUGCUAGUAAAAUUAUUCCUAGGAAAAUUAAGAUAACUCAAACCAUACAGAUCAUUAAUCUUUUCAGGAACAUGCCUGUAAAACUCAUUACCAGACAGAUCUAGAUACUGAAGCGAAUACAUUGACCCGAGAUUCGAAACAAUCCUGCCGGUCAAUCGGUUCCCAGACUAGCUCAAGUUCUUCAAAUUUUUCAACAUAAGCAAAGUACUAAACUUUAUUUCACCGAUCAACUGAAUCCAGUCAAGAUUAAUGGAUACAACCCGACCAUCCAUGCUCUGGUUGUUGAACUCAUCUUUCUGUAUGCUCUGGUUGUUGAACUCAUCUUUCGGUUGCCAGAUCAUCAACAAACUGGGACUAUCCGGGUAACAAAUUGUCAAACCACAGGGAGCACAGGUGUAAUUUCCAAACGUUGGGGACUAUAGGUGUUAUUUUACAAAACCACAGGGACUAUCCGUACAUUUUACUCUUCCAAAUGCUACACGGUUUGUACUUUUGACCUAACCAAGUUAGUUUUUUUUUCAUUUAAUCAGAUCACACAAUGGUAAUUUAGUCUUCUUACCCAUUUAUUUUAAAAUUAUUUUAACAAAUAAAACAAAAUAAAUUUAAAAACAAUAAAAUAUGUUAUAAUAUAUUAAUGGGACCUCAUCAUCGUACUCUACAACUUCCAGAUCAUCUCCUUCGGUGAAUUUUCACCUCACAAUUCUUCAUUCGGUACAUAUUUAUUAUAUUUUUGAUCCAAGUAGUGGCGGAUCUAGGAAUUUUUUUUUUACUAUGUUCACCUUUUUAUGACUGAACAUAAAAAACUUUAGGUCGGUUCGACGGUUCGGGUCAAAUAAGGUACAUCACAUGUAAAAAUACGAUACAGUUGUAUUCAUAAAGUAAAAUGAACACAACUUUAUUUCUGAUCUUGUCAACCCAAAUGUAAUUUCUAUAAUUCAUACUUUAUCCAUUGACGGUUAUACCUUUAAUAGAUA